GUGGUUCUGCCAGCCCAAAAUACAGCUUUGCAGGCCUCCGUCUUGGCUCCAGCUCAUCUCAAAUUUUCUUCUCAGGGCAUUGUUCAGACUACACCUAUUAACAGGAUCACCUGGUUCUGCAGAAAAUACACACAGCAACAGGUUUUGUCAUAUUAUCCUGGUCUGUCUCUUGUUCCACCCUGGCCCUUCCUAGAACUGGGAGCAGGACUGGCUGGCCUACAGCUUUCCAAGCAGAGUGCAGAGGCUGCAGAAGGACUUCAUUUGGCCUGAAGUGGUUCAGGAAGAGCUGAAAGCAAAUCUUCCCCAAGGCCCUGGUGUA
Molecule: long non-coding RNA, 319 nt
Organism: Melozone crissalis (California towhee)
Lineage: Eukaryota; Metazoa; Chordata; Aves; Passeriformes; Passerellidae
Exons: 3
Source: RefSeq, a predicted model, not a curated record